CUCUCCCUCUCUUCAAGCUCUCGCUUAAGCGCCCGAGCUCUUCUCUUUCAUUUCUUGAUUCCAGUUUCAAAAAUUUUUGAAAGAAAGGUAGAUUUUUAUCCUAAUCUUAAAUGAGAAUCAUUAAAUAGAUAACAAGUAAAAGAAGUCGUUCAAGAUCUUAGGGGAAAUAAAGGAGUUCGCUUUUUCUUUCUUAAUGGCUGAGAUAUGCUGUGGAGUAGUAAGUGACAGUGAAGCGUCGAUGCCUUGUGAAGGGAGUCCGAGAGCAGCUAGGCGGAGGAGAAUGGAGAUCAGACGGUUCAAAUUCGUCACAGGUGUUGUCCCAUCCUCGCCGGAGACGGCAGAAAGUAAUAAACGGCGUAAAAUUGAAGUUCACACGGCCUUAUUGCCAGCUUCUCGCCACGAGGACUCAGUAGUGAAGAAUCAAGACAAAAGAAUCGUACUAAAGGUUGAAAAUGGAAAAUUGGAAACUACAGAAAUUAUAUUUUCAAGCAAGUCUCUGAAUCUGGUUCUAAGUCCGACCUUUUCAUCACCUCCCAUUGAUCCAGACUUGUAUCCGAAAUACGGCGUCGCUUCAGUCUGCGGAAGGAGAAGAGACAUGGAAGAUGCUGUGGCAAUUUACCCUUUUUUCUGUUGCAAGGACCAAGAUUCCACUACUGAAUUACACUAUUUUGGCGUCUACGACGGCCAUGGUUGCUCUCACGUGGCAGUCAGGUGCAAAGAGAGAUUGCAUGAGCUGGUGGAGGAAGAAUUGCUAGAGAGCAAGGAAGCAACAGUAGUAGAGGCGGCGACGGCGAAAUGGAAAAGCGCGAUGGAGAGGAGCUUCUCGCGGAUGGACAAAGAGGUGAUCGCGUGGAAUGAAGGUGUCGUUGGCGCUAGUUGCAGGUGUGAGAUGCAAACCCCAGAAUGCAACGCCGUUGGAUCUACAGCUGUGGUUGCAGUCGUAACCCCUGACAAGAUUAUCGUGGCCAACUGUGGUGACUCUAGAGCUGUCUUGUGCCGCAAUGGCAAGCCUAUCCCCCUCUCUACUGAUCACAAGGUUCGCACUCCUUUCUCAAAACCCUAAAUGCUAAAGAAUUCUUUUUAGUGAUCAAAGAUAUUUAAACCCAGUGAUUUGCAUGUGUUUGAAGAGCAACGGGCUUUUGCCAUUUCAUUUGCUUUCCCUUCCGAUUUUCUUACAACCAAACAAGAGUCCUUGCAUUAUGAAUUUCAAAACUUCCUAAUUAACUUGGGCUCUCUCGGGAUGCGUGCUAACAGCCGGACCGUCCAGAAGAGUGGAACAGGAUCCAAGCCGCCGGUGGACGUGUUAUAUACUGGGAUGUUCCACGAGUGCUCGGAGUUCUGGCAAUGUCGAGAGCGAUAGGUAUUUUAAGAAGUUUAUGGGAAAAAUGGCGCGAUUUCUAGUAUUGAUUAUCUCACAUCUUGUGAUAAUGAUCCGCAUAGGUGAUAACUAUCUAAAACCGUACGUGAGCUGUGAGCCAGAGGUGACGAUAACGGAUCGGACAGCGGAGGAUGAUUGCUUGAUACUGGCCAGCGACGGGCUUUGGGACGUGGUGUCGAACGACACAGCAUGUGGAGUGGCGCGUAUGUGUUUGAGAGGGAAAGGACAGGUGCAGCAGUCAUGUUCUCCGCCAGAGAACGAGGUGGUGGGCUGUGGAAGUGCAGCCAGCAGCGGAUGCGGUGAAAUGUCGGAUAAGGCAUGCUCGUAUGCGUCGAUGUUUCUGACGAAGUUGGCUCUGGCCAGGCACAGUACUGACAACGUGAGCGUGGUCGUGGUGGAUCUAA
This 1782-nucleotide unclassified non-coding RNA is filed under the name Hevea brasiliensis (rubber tree). Lineage: Eukaryota; Viridiplantae; Streptophyta; Magnoliopsida; Malpighiales; Euphorbiaceae. The record is from RNAcentral.